GCGCUGGAAACGGCGUCUAAUACUGGAUAUGACCUGCGAUCGCAUGGUCAGCAGUUGAAAAGAUUUUUCGGUCUGGGAUGGGCUCACGGCCUAUCAGCUUGUUGGUGAGGUAAUGGCUCACCAAGGCGUCGACGGGUAGCCGGCCUGAGAGGGUGACCGGCCACACUGGGACUGAGACACGGCCCAGACUCCUACGGGAGGCAGCAGUGGGGAAUAUUGCACAAUGGGCGAAAGCCUGAUGCAGCAACGCCGCGUGAGGGAUGACGGCCUUCGGGUUGUAAACCUCUUUUAGCAGGGAAGAAGCGAAAGUGACGGUACCUGCAGAAAAAGCGCCGGCUAACUACGUGCCAGCAGCCGCGGUAAUACGUAGGGCGCAAGCGUUAUCCGGAAUUAUUGGGCGUAAAGAGCUCGUAGGCGGUUUGUCGCGUCUGCUGUGAAAUCCCGAGGCUCAACCUCGGGUCUGCAGUGGGUACGGGCAGACUAGAGUGCGGUAGGGGAGAUUGGAAUUCCUGGUGUAGCGGUGGAAUGCGCAGAUAUCAGGAGGAACACCGAUGGCGAAGGCAGAUCUCUGGGCCGUUACUGACGCUGAGGAGCGAAAGGGUGGGGAGCAAACAGGCUUAGAUACCCUGGUAGUCCACCCCGUAAACGUUGGGAACUAGUUGUGGGGUCCAUUCCACGGAUUCCGUGACGCAGCUAACGCAUUAAG
Molecule: ribosomal RNA, 706 nt
Filed under: Microbacterium oleivorans
Lineage: Bacteria; Bacillati; Actinomycetota; Actinomycetes; Micrococcales; Microbacteriaceae
Description: bacterial SSU rRNA
Rfam family: Bacterial small subunit ribosomal RNA
Source: RNAcentral